UCCGUAGGCGGGUCUGUAAGUCAGUGGUGAAAUCUCCCGGCUCAACCGGGAAAUUGCCAUUGAUACUGCAGGUCUUGAAUUAUUGGGAAGUAACUAGAAUAUGUAGUGUAGCGGUGAAAUGCUUAGAGAUUACAUGGAAUACCAAUUGCGAAGGCAGGUUACUAUCAAUAUAUUGACGCUGAUGGACGAAAGCGUGGGUAGCGAACAGGAUUAGAUACCCUGGUAGUCCACGCCGUAAACGAUGGAUACUAGCUGUUGGGUGCAAACUCAGUGGCUAAGCGAAAGUGAUAAGUAUCCCACCUGGGGAGUACGAACGCAAGUUUGAA
RNAcentral lists this ribosomal RNA (326 nucleotides) under uncultured Bacteroidota bacterium. Its description in RNAcentral is "bacterial SSU rRNA". It matches the Rfam family "Bacterial small subunit ribosomal RNA", at positions 568 to 898 of the family's 1533-position model. The record is from RNAcentral. Lineage: Bacteria; Pseudomonadati; Bacteroidota.